This 22-nucleotide microRNA is filed under the name Pristionchus pacificus. RNAcentral describes it as "ppc-miR-2245". The record is from miRBase by way of RNAcentral. Lineage: Eukaryota; Metazoa; Nematoda; Chromadorea; Rhabditida; Neodiplogasteridae.
AAUAUGAGUGAAAGUAUGCCAC